This 26-nucleotide non-coding RNA is filed under the name Rattus norvegicus (Norway rat). The record is from RNAcentral. Lineage: Eukaryota; Metazoa; Chordata; Mammalia; Rodentia; Muridae.
UGACCAAUAGCGCUUGGCUUUUUUCA